CUGGGCCAGUCACAGUGUGGGGACGAACGGGGGUCUCCUGCUACCCCUCGGGCCGCGCAGAGACGCGCGGCGCCCGGUUCUCAUCUCCGGGGUCUGUGCCAAUCAUAACGGAAACAACUUCCUCACGGUACCACUUCCUCUGAGAAGUCUUCCUGGAUUCCCUCCAUCUCCUCUGUUAUUUUGGACUGUUCUAUGGGCUUCGCCUCUCCCCAUCAUGACUCCAAAGAGCCAGGACAAUUCAUCUGUGUGUCCCAGGGUCUGGUACACUGCAGUAAAUGUUUUUGGAAGAGAAGCAAAUGGAAAAUGAAAUGCUUGAGAUGAGACAACUGAAAAAUCUCUAAUCCUAAGAAAGAAAACUGGAGAAACAUUGACGAUAAAGAGCAAAAAAGAAAACUGUAACCAAAAUUAAUCACUUGAGAAGUUAUCUGAAGAAGCCGUACACUAUCAGAGUGGCAAUACUGUCACCCAAUGGCUGGCUCCCUGCCUUGGAGGGUCGAGUACCGAUUUGUGGAGAGACCUAUGCCAUACUUUUAGUGGUAAAUUAGUAAUCUCUCUUCUGACUGGGGCUAGACUCUAGUAACCUCUCAAGAGUAUUCAAGGUCCUGGAUUUCAAGUCCUAGCAUGGCUUGGGUUUUGUCCCCACCCUGACCACCCACGGCCCUACACAAAGUGGGCAGAUUAGAUUUCUUCUUGCCAUGUCAUGGAUGUCAGCACGAGCUGGGUAGAGGCAGGGGGGCCAUGGCCAGAAGCAUCAUCAAGUAAAGAUGAGGUCAUGCUGGAGUCAGGUGCACCCUAAAUCUAACAGGCGGUAUUAGAAGAGGAGAGGACCCCAACUGUAGAAGCCAUACAAAGGCAGAGGCAAGGAUUGGAAUCUGCCCAAGCCAAGGAAUGGCCAAGGCCACCAAAAGCAGAAAGAUACCAUAGAAAGACCCACCCUAGAACCCUGGAGCACGACCGAUGGCACCAUGCUCAAACCAUCAGAUUGUGCACUGGACUGCAUGAAUCGUUGAGAGUGAGCUACAUCUGGAGCGAGCAGCUCAGAAACAACAGGCUGGGUUUUACGGUCGCCAAGCCUCACAGUCCUCCUCUGGGCUCAGGGAAGUGGCUGGUGGCCAGGGUUACCUUUCUCACCGCUGUGGCACCUCCUGACAGUCCUCUGUGAUGAGCCGGGAGGAGGCAAUGGAUGUCACUCCCAAGCCAUAGAGCUGAGUGCCUGCAGCCGCUCUUUGCCUUCUCUCUUGCCGAAAGUCAGCACCACUCAGCUGGGUGACCAGCAACUCCACCAUGCUGGCCUGUUUCCUCAUCUGUCCAGUGGGGGAGUUAGAGGACUGUGUGGUUGGCAUGCAUUAAAUGUGACACAGGGUGUGACAGCAGCAGUGCUGGCAUAGACUGAAUGGUAGCUGCUGUUGGAGUGAUUCGAUUUGCCCCAUGGGGGUUUAGGGACUCAGUCUCUCCAGAGGGGGACGACCAUGGAAAGGAACAGGGAACGGCCCCAUGUCUCUGCAGUUG
Molecule: long non-coding RNA, 1509 nt
Filed under: Heterocephalus glaber (naked mole-rat)
Lineage: Eukaryota; Metazoa; Chordata; Mammalia; Rodentia; Bathyergidae
Description: lncRNA (ENSHGLG00100040192.1)
Source: RNAcentral